Molecule: small RNA, 572 nt
Filed under: Pan troglodytes (chimpanzee)
Lineage: Eukaryota; Metazoa; Chordata; Mammalia; Primates; Hominidae
Description: retained intron
Source: RNAcentral
GCUGCCGUCGGGAGGCUGCUUCGAGGUUCGAGGCUGUGCCCCGCGACCCCGCCUUCGGCGCUCGGCUCGCAGGAUGGAUCCCGUACCCGGGACAGACUCGGCGCCGCUGGCUGGCCUGGCCUGGUCGUCGGCCUCUGCACCCCCGCCGCGGGGGUUCAGCGCGAUCUCCUGCACCGUCGAGGGGGCACCCGCCAGCUUUGGCAAGAGCUUCGCGCAGAAAUCUGGCUACUUCCUGUGCCUUAGUUCUCUGGGCAGCCUAGAGGUAAGAGGUGCCCACCUUCGGAACCACCAGGGUCUGCCCACCUCCCCUGCCCAUUCACGGUGCCCUAUGCCAGGUGCGCUGUCCCCGCUGCUAGGCCACCCUCGCCGUGUCCCCCUUCCACCCCCAGAACCCGCAGGAGAACGUGGUGGCCGAUAUCCAGAUCGUGGUGGACAAGAGCCCCCUGCCGCUGGGCUUCUCCCCCGUCUGCGACCCCAUGGAUUCCAGUAAGGACUGCUUCGGAGGCGAGAGUUGUCCGGGUCCCUUGCAGGGAGGAGCGGGGGAGGAGGGACGACGGGCGCGCGGUAUCUGA